GUUUGGUUUUAGAUGAUGUGGCCUGAGACAAACAGAAAAACUGGAUUCAUUUUCUACCAACUCGUAGUUUAGAACACAGAAAAUAUGAAAAAAAAAAAAUUGAGGCAAAAGAAAAAAAGACAUCACAGAGAAAAGGUCAUGUAGAGCUCACAAGGGCAAAUCUUAUGGUCUUAUGGCUAAAAUAAGAAAGAUUAUUAGCUAGUGGACACAGCCAAUUACAUAGAUCAGAUAUCAUUAAAUGUUUUAAUAGGCAAUCCCCGUUACCAUUCUUUGAUGAAAAUACAUUUCUGUGUUAAGAUAAUUCUAGCUUCAAUAAUUCCCUUUGAAUGACUACAUACUUGUUGUGAAUCGGUUCCCUGAGAAACCCAUUUUUGGAGUGUUGGGUAUAAUCUUGGGAUUUUUGGGAAAACAUCGAGUCAGAGUACGCAUAAUGUCUAAAAACUGAAGAGAAAUGGUAUAAUAGAAAAUUCACUAAAACUUAUAGUUACACGAAUUGACUAGUGUGACUUUUUAUAUGUUUGCAAAGCCUUUAAUACACUAAUUCAUAAACAUAUCUUUCUUUACUCCCUCCCUUCAAGCUUUUCCUUUGAUUCGCUUUAGCUUGUAGCCAGGUAGCCAUGUUGGAUUCCAGUUCAUCUCAAGUGUUUCUUCAUUCAGUGUUUGCCCUAAAGUUGUGCAAACUUGAGCCAAAGAGAAUGGUAUGCAAAGGAAGAAGAACCAAAAUUUGGCUGAAGCUAGUCAUUUCACUUAUCAUAUUCGUCCUGGUCUUAUAGACGCCAAAAAAGACAACCCUAACAGCAUGACCCAUUUGACCAUUUAUAAUACAGCUUGUGUCAUACCUGAUCCUUAUCAACACUUUUAAUACUUAACAGCAAAAUUUUUGUGGCAUGCUGAAAGUUGUUUGAAGUAGAAAUUACCUAGAUACAAAAACAUUUCAGUUCAUCUAUAAUGAUAACCUCUUAUGUUGCAGACCAUGCAAAAGAACAGAAUAGUUUACCUAAGCAACUAAAUUUAGGCAUGGGUGCGGUUCGGUUUUAGGCCAGAACUGAACCGGCAGUUCCGGCAUAAAGGGCCGGGGACCCAAGACCAGAGCAAAGGGUUCCCCUCGGUUGCAAUUCAGUUCAAUACAGUUCAUCCGGUUCAAUCAAAUCUGACAGUCAAAAAAAAAAAUUCUUUUUAAGUGACAAAUCUGGUUUUGAUCUGAAACUGGACCAAACCAGUCAGAAUUGGUCCAGGCCAAUUUCGGCCCAGUUCAAGAUGGUUCUGCUCAAAUCCAAGUUAUGACCAGUUCCGGUCCAAACCCGGACAGUGCCCAUGUCUAACUAGAUUAGCAUAUGGCUGCAUUUGCUGACAGAAGUGCAUAUAUGUAAAGCCUUUAAAAAUAAGCUGUAGCAAAACCAAGCAAUUGAAAGAUAGCUAAUGUACCUUGUUUCCAUUGGAACCUGGUG
Molecule: unclassified non-coding RNA, 1448 nt
Filed under: Hevea brasiliensis (rubber tree)
Lineage: Eukaryota; Viridiplantae; Streptophyta; Magnoliopsida; Malpighiales; Euphorbiaceae
Source: RNAcentral